Molecule: long non-coding RNA, 2839 nt
Organism: Oncorhynchus tshawytscha (Chinook salmon)
Lineage: Eukaryota; Metazoa; Chordata; Actinopteri; Salmoniformes; Salmonidae
Source: Ensembl
GAAAAUCAAUUUCCUUAUGUUGACUUGCCAUCUUAUCUCACUGGCGUGAUAUGGACUUUGGCCACCCACAAUGCCACUUUAUAUAAUGUUCUCAUACCCUACAUUACUCAUCUCAUAUGUAUAUACUGUAUGCUAUACCAUCUACUGCAUCUUGCCAUCUUGAUGUAAUGUAUAACUAGCCACUUGAAACAAUGCCGCUUUAUAUGUUUUCAUACCCUACAUUACUCAUCUCAUAUGUACAGUAUGUACUGUACUCUAUACCAUCUAUUGCAUCUUGCCUAUGCCGUUCAGCCAUCACUCAUUUAUAUAUUUUUAUGUACAUAUUCGUAUUCAUUCAUUUACACUUGUGUGUGUAUAAGGUAGUUGUUGUGGAAUUGUUGAUUUAAUUCCCUCUUUGGCAGAGUGUGACACUGAUUUUGAAGUUACAGGCAGGGCUACCUCAUCACAAGACCAUGAACCCGACUCAUGUCCGCUACAUUCAUCUCCCAUGAGUGACAGUCCCCCAGUUGGGCUUCACUCUCACGGCGAGUUCUGAACCCUGGUCAUCAAAGGGAAAAACCAAUGUCUUGACCAAUAGACCAAGAGGAUAUUCCAUUUUGAAGACGCAGACAGCCAGGACGAACUAUUGGACAUUAGAGUGGCGGUAACUCACCAGAACUUCCAGCAUUACGACUUCCCUGGAGCGGAUCCUUGGUUUGCUCUCUCCAGAGCAAUUUAACUUAUUCCAGAGGCUGACCCAAAACAACGCCGGCGGAGGAGAGGUACCAAAGGCAGUCUUUUGGUCCGACUUAGGAUACCGCUCCCGAGUAUUUUACUCGCUAAUUGUCCAAUCUCUGGAUAAUAAAAUUGAUGAGCUCAAGGUGAGAGUUGCUUUUCAGAGAGACACCAGGGAUUGUAACAUACUCUGCUUCACGGAACAUGGCUCUCUCGAGAUAUACUGUCUGAAUCUGUAAAGCCAGUUGGGUUUUCAGUACAUCGCGCCGACAGGAACAAAUAUCUCUCCGGGAAGCAGAAGGGUGGAGGUAUAUGUUUUAUGAUGAACGACUAUUGGUGUAACUGUGAUAACAUACAGGAACUCAAAUCCUUCUGUUCACCCGACCUAGAAUGUCUCACAAUCAAAUGCCGAACGAACUAUCUCUCAAGACAAUUUUCGUCAAUAAUAGUCACAGCGUUCUAUCUCCCCCCAAGCGGAUACCACGAAGGCCCUCAACGAACUUCACUAGCCUUUAUGCAAACUGGAAACUACAUAUUCUGAGGUUGCAUUUAUUGUAGCUGGGGAUUUUAACAAAGCAAAUUUGAGGAAAAGGCUCCCGAAAUUCUAUCGACAUAUUGAUUGUUGUACUCGCGCUGCUAAAAGUCUCGACCAUUGUUAUACUACCUUCCAGAAUGCAUAUAAGGCCCUCCCCCGCCCUCCAUUUGGCAAAUCGGACCACAAUUCCAUCUUGCUCCUCCCCUCCUAUAGGCAGAAACUCCAACACGAAGCACCCAUGGUGAGGACUAUUCAACGCUGGUCUGGUCAAUCGGAAUCCAAGCUUCAAGAUUGUUUUGAUCACGUGGACUGGGAUAUGCUCAGAGUAGCUUCAGAAAAAAUAUAGACACAUAUACUGAUACGGUGAAUGAGUUUAUCAGGAAGUGCAUAGGAGAUGUUGUACCACUGUGACUAUUAAAACCAACCCCAACCAGAAACCGUAGAUAGAUGGGAGCAUUCGUGCAAAACUGAAAGCUCAAACCACCACAUUUAACCAGGGCAAAAAGACUGGGAAUAUGGAAGAAUACAAGCAGUAUAGUUAUUCCUUCCGCAAAUCAAUCAAGCAGGCUAGGGAAAAAGUUUAGUCCCAGUUCAACGGCUCAGACACGAGACGUAUAUGGCAGGGUCUACAGACAAUCACGGUUUAUAAAAGGAAAAUCAGCUGCAUUGUGGACACCUUCUUUGCUCGCUUUGAGGAUAAUACAGUGCCACCGACGCGGCCCACUAACUAAGACUGGGGGCUCUCCUUCUCCGUGGCCGAGGUGAGUAAGACAUUUAAGCGUAUUAACCUUCGCAAGGCUGCCGGCACAGAUGGUAUCCCUAGCCGCGUCUUCAGAGGAUGCGCAGACCCGCUGGCUGGUGUGUUUACAGAAAUAUUCAAUUUCUCCCUAUCCCAGUCUGUUGUACUCACAUGCUUCAAAAUGUCCCUGUACCUAAGAAAGAAAAUGUAAUUGAACUAAAUUACUAUUGCCCCGUAACACUCACCUCUGUCAUCAUGAAGUACUUUGAGAGACUAUUCAAGGAUCAUAUCACCUCCACUUUACCUGUCACCCUAGACCCACUUCAAUUUGCUUACCGCCCCAAAAGAUCCACAAGACGAUACAAUCGCCACCACACUGCACAUUGUCCUGUCCCAUCUGGACAAGAGGCAUACCCUUGUAAUAAUUCUGUUCAUUGACUAUAGCUCAGCAUUCAACACAAUAGUACCCUCCAAGCUUAUCAUCAAGCUCGAGGCCCUGGGUCUGAACCCCACCCUGUGCAACCGGGUCCUGGACUUUCUGAUAGUUCAGCCCCAGGUGGUGAAGGUAGGAAACAACACCUCCUCUUCACUGGUCCUCAACACUGGGGCCCCACAAGGGUGCUUGCUCAGCCCCCUCAUGUACUCCCUGUUCACCCAUGACUGCUUGGCCAAGCACACCUCCAACUCAAUCAUCAAGUUUGCAGAUGACACAACAGUAGUAGGCUUGAUUACCAACAAUGAUGAGACAGCCUACAGGGAGGUGAAGGCUCUAGGAGUGUGGUGCCAGGUAAAUAACCUCUCACUCAACACCAACAAAACUAAGGAGAUGAUCGUGGACUUCAUGAAACAGC